Molecule: long non-coding RNA, 207 nt
Filed under: Physcomitrium patens
Lineage: Eukaryota; Viridiplantae; Streptophyta; Bryopsida; Funariales; Funariaceae
Description: long non-coding RNA (PPAT_LNC004644)
Source: RNAcentral
AAAAGAGUAUAAGAAAGUUAUUAUGGUGGCUUGUAGGAUUUAUAGGUGGCGGCUAGGUUAAGAAAGAAUCUAGGAUUUAGUUGGAUGAAGUAGAAAUGGAUGUAAUAUUGAUGGAAGUUGCCUCGUUUGUUGGCAACCACCACCUAUAAGUAAUAAGAGUUGGAAGUAAGAGUUAUCUUACUCCAUACUACAUUUUGUAAGCAACCU